GAGAGUUGAUCAUGGCUCAGGAUGAACGCUAGCGGCAGGCUUAACACAUGCAAGGUCGAGGGGUAACGCGGUGUAGCAAUACACUGGCGACGACCGGCGCACGGGUGCGUAACGCGUAUGCAACCUACCUGGUAACAGGGGGGAUAACGGGAUGAAAAAUCCCACUAAUACCCCAUAUAGUUAGAGAUUCGCAUGUUUCUCUAACGAAAGCUUCGGUGUUACGGAUGGGCAUGCGUGACAUUAGCUAGUUGGCGGGGCAACGGCCCACCAAGGCGACGAUGUCUAGGGGAGCUGAGAGGCUUAUCCCCCACACUGGUACUGAGACACGGACCAGACUCCUACGGGAGCAGCAGUGAGGAAUAUUGGUCAAUGGACGGAAGUCUGAACCAGCCAUGCCGCGUGGAAGGAAGAAGGUCCUAUGGGUUGUAAAACUCCUUUUACGCCGGAGUAAUAAGAGCCUUGCGAGGCUCGAUGAGAGUACGGCGGGAAUAAGCAUCGGCUAACUCCGUGCCAGCAGCCGC
RNAcentral lists this ribosomal RNA (521 nucleotides) under uncultured bacterium. Its description in RNAcentral is "bacterial SSU rRNA". It matches the Rfam family "Bacterial small subunit ribosomal RNA", at positions 7 to 518 of the family's 1533-position model. The record is from RNAcentral.